AAUCUCUUAAAGCUUCUCUCAGUUCGGAUUGCAGGCUGCAACUCGCCUGCAUGAAGCCGGAAUCGCUAGUAAUCGCGGAUCAGCACGCCGCGGUGAAUACGUUCCCGGGCCUUGUACACACCGCCCGUCACACCACGAGAGUUUGUAACACCCGAAGUCGGUGAGGUAACCUUUUGGAGCCAGCCGCCUAAGGUGGGAUAGAUGAUUGGGGUGAAGUCGUAACAAGGUAGCCGUAUCGGAAGGUGCGGCUGGAUCACCUCCUUUCUAAGGAA
Molecule: ribosomal RNA, 272 nt
Filed under: Shigella flexneri
Lineage: Bacteria; Pseudomonadati; Pseudomonadota; Gammaproteobacteria; Enterobacterales; Enterobacteriaceae
Also listed under: 1 other name
Description: partial 16S ribosomal RNA
Rfam family: Bacterial small subunit ribosomal RNA
Source: RNAcentral